AUUUUUUUCGUAUUAUUAGUUUCUCAUUUUUCAAAUUUUCAUUUUGAUAGAUCUCUGAUGAUAGAUCUCUGAAUAUCUACACAUGAAACUGGUACUUGUUGAUUUUUAGAUAUCUGCUUUGUCUUGCUUUUCAUUUUCAUUUUGGUAGAUCUCUGAAUAUCUACAAAUGCAUUUUUGCUCCAUUUUUCGCAGAUUUGAUUUCAGCACUAUUUUUUGGCAUCUGAUUUUAGUAGAUCUAUGAACAUCUUUGCUCUUGUUCGUAGUCUGUUUUUCGCAUUUGAUUUUUGUAGAUCUAUGAACAUCUUUAUUUUCUUUCGCAUGUAGAUCUAUGAACAUCCACACAAAUUCAUUAUCUUUCGCAAUGUUUGCUACUGAAAUACAUCUUUAUUGAUUUAUACCACUUUUUCAACUUCCUAAGCCUGCAGAGUAAACUUUCUUGUGUAAACACAAUUGAUAUGGGUUACAUUUGCUUUGUUUGAUAUCUUUAUUUUGUUGUAGGUGCUGCUUGUAUGAAUAUGCUUUCUCUCCAAAGCCUUUGGGUGAAGUCAAAUCCACUACCACUGUUGGUCUCAAUCAAGCACUCAUUCUCUUGAUAAAGAUCUGAAUGGUAAUACUUCCACUGAAAGAUUCAGUCUUAAUCUUCUGCGGUCUUGAUCUGCUGCAAAAAUUCAGAAAUAUUAGCUACAGUUUUAGACUUUGUGUGCAAAGUAGAAAAAAGUGUAUAAAUUUGUAUCUUAGUUGUAAUUGAAACUAAUAAUAAACAGCAAAAAAACUAAACAGAAUAAAAAGAGAAAUACCAACAGUAAAUUUAAAAUAGCAUAAAGAAGCAAUAAAGAAACCAAGAUUAUAGAUAAAGAAACCAAAAUUUAAAAUAGCAUAAAGAAGCAAUAAAGAAACCAAGAUUAGAGAGAGAAAGAUUGCAAGCUGAAAAUGUCAGCUGAAAUAAUCUGAGUCCCUAUUUAUAGGAAGAAGCUCUCAUUUAUCAGCAUUAAAUUUGGGCUCCAAAAAUUUGAAAUUUGAAUUUGGGCUGCACUUUUUGGAGCCAAAACAAACAAAUUUCUGCAAGGCCCAUCAGGCAAUAAACAGCAACAUUAUACAGUGGAUAAAAACAUGCCUGCUUUGGCGGGAAAUUUUUUUGGCAAAACUUGUGCUUUAAUAUAAGUAUAGAUUUCUUCUAUUUUAUUUUUCUACUUUCUUUUAAAAAAGGAAAACAAUUAUCAUUUUCUAUGGGUGAGCGUGAGAUUAAGCAUUUCCUGG
Molecule: long non-coding RNA, 1257 nt
Organism: Salvia miltiorrhiza (redroot sage)
Lineage: Eukaryota; Viridiplantae; Streptophyta; Magnoliopsida; Lamiales; Lamiaceae
Exons: 3
Source: RefSeq, a predicted model, not a curated record